GCGGGUAUGGCGGAAUAGGCAGACGCGAAGGACUUAAAAUCCUUUGGUAGCAAUACCGUGCCGGUUCAAGUCCGGCUACCCGCA
Molecule: transfer RNA, 84 nt
Filed under: Lachnospiraceae bacterium
Lineage: Bacteria; Bacillati; Bacillota; Clostridia; Lachnospirales; Lachnospiraceae
Description: tRNA-Leu
Rfam family: tRNA
About the family: Transfer RNA (tRNA) molecules are approximately 80 nucleotides in length. Their secondary structure includes four short double-helical elements and three loops (D, anti-codon, and T loops).
Source: RNAcentral